This is a long non-coding RNA of Vespa mandarinia (Asian giant hornet), 345 nucleotides long. The record is from RefSeq and is a predicted model, not a curated record. Lineage: Eukaryota; Metazoa; Arthropoda; Insecta; Hymenoptera; Vespidae.
CUGUGCGACAUUACACUGCCUGUGUUGACUGACUGUGCCUGGUUUUAUUCUUGCCGUCGUCGUCGUCGCUGCUGCUGCUGUUGCUGCUGGUUGCUCACGAUCAUACUCCCCAGAGCUACAGAGUAGGCUCAGGUAGCAACAUUUACGUCAGAAAUAUGGCCGAACGUUAAACGGAAGGAAUACAAAGUACAAGGAGGAGUUUCUACUUGACAACUUAUGUUUGAUACAUGAGAAUGAUACACGUUCAUGAUGGCUUUGAUGUCCAAAUAUUUCUCGUUAUCGAUCAUUGAUAUUUCUCUUCCAUCAAAUGUCUCAAUCGUAUAAAAAGAAGAAGAAAUAAAAAAA